GAAAACCAUAUUCGAUGAAAGUCGAAUGUACGGCUUGGAGGGAAAUCUUUCAUAUUUUUUGAGAUCCACCCUAC
This is a non-coding RNA of Gossypium raimondii (Peruvian cotton), 74 nucleotides long. NCBI's taxonomy places the organism in Eukaryota, Viridiplantae, Streptophyta, Magnoliopsida, Malvales, Malvaceae. The record is from Rfam.